RNAcentral lists this ribosomal RNA (468 nucleotides) under uncultured bacterium. RNAcentral's name for it is "partial 16S ribosomal RNA". It matches the Rfam family "Bacterial small subunit ribosomal RNA", at positions 28 to 507 of the family's 1533-position model. The record is from RNAcentral.
GACGAACGCUGGCGGCGUGCUUAACACAUGCAAGUCGAACGGAAAGGCCCUGCUUUUGUGGGGUGCUCGAGUGGCGAACGGGUGAGUAACACGUGAGUAACCUGCCCUUGACUUUGGGAUAACUUCAGGAAACUGGAGCUAAUACCGGAUAGGAGCUCCUGCUGCACGGUGGGGGUUGGAAAGAUUCGGCGGUUGGGGAUGGACUCGCGGGUUACCAGCUUGUUGGUGGGGUAGUGGCUUACCAAGGCUUUGACGGGUAGCCGGCCUGAGAGGGUGACCGGCCACAUGGGUACUGAGAGACGGCCCAGACUCCUACGGGAGGCAGCAGUGGGGAAUAUUGCACAAUGGGCGGAAGCCUGAUGCAGCAACGCCGCGUGCGGGAUGACGGCCUUCGGGUUGUAAACCGCUUUCGCCUGUGACGAAGCGUGAGUGACGGUAAUGGGUAAAGAAGCACCGGCUAACUACGUG